This 502-nucleotide ribosomal RNA is filed under the name uncultured bacterium. Its description in RNAcentral is "bacterial SSU rRNA". It matches the Rfam family "Bacterial small subunit ribosomal RNA", at positions 28 to 521 of the family's 1533-position model. The record is from RNAcentral.
GAUGAACGCUAGCGGCAGGCCUAAUACAUGCAAGUCGAACGGUAGAUCGGGUAGCAAUACUUGAUUGAGAGUGACGUAAGGGUGCGUAACACGUAUGCAAUCUGCCCUCAACAGGAGUAUAGCUCGGGGAAACUCGGAUUAACCCUCCAUAAUAUUAUUGAGAGGCAUCUUUUAAUAAUUAAAACUUCGGUGGUUGAGGAUGAGCAUGCGCAUGAUUAGUUAGUUGGAGGUGUAACGGACCCCCAAGACGAUGAUCAUUAGGGGAACGUGAGAGGUUGAUCCCCCACACUGGCACUGAGAUACGGGCCAGACUCCUACGGGAGGCAGCAGUAGGGAAUAUUGGACAAUGGGCGGAAGCCUGAUCCAGCCAUCCCGCGUGUAGGAAUAAGGCCCUAUGGGUUGUAAACUACUUUUAUUAGGGAAGAAAAACUUUAGUAUUAUUCAGAGCUUGACGGUACCUAAGGAAUAAAGCACCGGCUAACUCCGUGCCAGCAGCCGCGGU